GCGCCGGAACAGGACCCGCACACUGCGGGCGGCGCGCGGCCUGGCUCCACCCGGGCUGGGGGAGAAAGGAGGGCCCCAGGCGCCCAGCAUCACUGUUCAAGGCGGCUUCGCAAGGUGAGGGGACCGAGGCCCUCCCUGCGGGAGCUGAAGCCACAACCCAGCUCCGGGUUCAUCCUCAUCUUCGCCGCCCGCUCGCGGGACCCACUCGGGACUCGCGGCCGCGCUCGCCCUUCCAGCCCUGCCCCCGGCCGCGCCGCGCGGGGUAGAAAUCUGCCCGGCAACAGGAGGGGACAACAGAGGGCCACGGAGCAUCCUGAGCGCCUCCCUGUGCCAGCCUGCAACACCCUGUCUGGCCUGGCCAGGGGACCUGGGAUCUGCACCCGCCUCACCAUCCCCAGCUAGGAACUUGAGACCUGGCACCAGCUCUCUACCCUGUGAGAUGUCCAGGCUUCCCAGCGUGUGGUCAGUGGAGGACAAAUCCCAGGCCUCUGGGCCCAAGCGUCAUCUCGCCACAGGACCCAUUCACCCGCCCAGCCCUCUCCAAGCCUCACGAGAACAGAUGUCUCUGUGGGAGCCCUGGAGCCCUGGAGCCCUGGAGCCCUGUCCGGCACCAGUGGGCACCCCCUUGACUGUACACAGUGUGGAGCACCCACCAGCACGGCCCUCACACAACCCUGCACGGGGACCCUGAAGCAGCUGCGGUGGGGGGACUUGGUCACAGGGCAGAGGGAGCAGGCGCAGGCAAGCUCGCAGGGUGCGCAGCAGCCCUGAAAAGGGCCUUGCACUGCAGCCCAAAGCCCACACCACAUACCCAGGUCAGGGGAGCACCCUCAACCAACACCAGCAAGGCCCCAAGUCCACACUGGAGAGCUCACCAGGACACUGGUUUAACGUAUAAAAUUAUAUGAACUAUUUAUGAAAUUAUCUCCACUGUGUGAGGUGUCUGGGAAGCAUAAAGGACUCUGGUGUGGGACAUGGGUCCCCUCCCCAGCUCACAGUGUAUAUCCGGAUGUCCUAAAUCCAAAUGGUGUGACCUCAAACACUUCCGACUGCAACACAGACACCUGCAUUGCUCGGCAGGACCCGCAGCCCCGAGAUACCGCCCUCAUCUCAGGUGAGGAAGCCGAGGCUGGGAGCAGCCGUCUCAUCCAGUUCUGAGGUGGCAGACAGACCAGCACCUGCGCAGCUGUGUUCCAAAGUGCAGAGCCACGCUGGACCCUCUACCAGCACACUAGGGCUCUGCAGGCCAGGGUCGGGGGUCAAACAGGACAGGCAGAGCCCACCCGGGGCAGAACAGUGCUCCCCACGCCUGCAUGCUGCAGCCCAGGGAGCCACAAGGGGCUCAGGUGGAAGAGGUCAGCCUGGAUGGAGCAGAGGAUCCAGGAAGACGUCCAGCCCAAGGGCCAUCCACACUGCAGAGGGAAAGCAGGCGGUGACACUGAGGGCUGGAGCACCUGCAGCCAGGUGGGAGCAGGAGGCUGUGCCCCAGCUGCACCCUCUCUGCCACCCUUGUCCCUGGACCCCUCUGGAACUACAUCUGACUGUGGAACCAGCCUCCUGCCCGUUCAGCAAGGCCUCCACCACCCAUCUUCACCCAGCUGGGUGGUUCGCAAGGGGCAGGGGCUCCUCUAUACACGUGUGGGGGCUGCAUUCAGGGGCACUCAGACCUAGCCAGGCCACAGGGCCACUCCAGCCUCAUCCACAACACAGAAGGCCAAGGCAUGACCAUGAGGGUUAAUAAACAGCUUUAUUUACCUUGUACAGCGUUCACGUCCUUACAUUCUCAAUUAAUUUUGCCAUUAAAGUGCCAGAAAUGUUUUAAAUCAUAACAUUUGUUAAAAGAAAUCAGAACUACCAUCAGGAGCAUGCUGGUCAUGGAUGGAACGUUUCUCUUACAGAACACAGGAUGGGACCCCCUCAUGUCCAGCUGCGGGCUGAGUAACUCACACCCAGAUCCUAGUUCCCUCCCUCCUGACACCAAGAUGGCCGGGACCAUCACCCACCACCAGGGAGCUGUGGGGAGCACAGCAGACGCCCGGCAGCUGCCAGCUGUUGGGGCCGCAUGGGCUGUGGCCGUUGGCAGAGAUCCCAUCCCAGGAGGGUGACAACUCAGCCCCCACUGCUUCCCCCCUCCCUCACCAAAAGCCCCGAAAGUCAUUACAAUAUAGAACAGUGGGUGUCCGUUUCCCCAACACUAAAAAUGUUUGGUACAAAUGAGGAUAAUAAACACAAAAGCUUGCUUAGUAAACAGGAGCUCUCAGCGUUCAAUGCAAAAAAAAA
This is a long non-coding RNA of Chinchilla lanigera (long-tailed chinchilla), 2280 nucleotides long. RefSeq lists it as uncharacterized. The transcript is spliced from 2 exons. The record is from RefSeq and is a predicted model, not a curated record. NCBI's taxonomy places the organism in Eukaryota, Metazoa, Chordata, Mammalia, Rodentia, Chinchillidae.